GAAUCCCGUAGAAUGGAAAUGACGCCCAUCAAGAUAUUGAUUUUAUUGUGUUUUUUGGCGGAAAUCAUAUUCCUAAUCUGUAGGUCACAGGUUCGAUUCCUGUCGGGAUCACCA
RNAcentral lists this transfer RNA (114 nucleotides) under Mesorhizobium opportunistum WSM2075. RNAcentral describes it as "tRNA-Und (NNN) (tRNA-Und-NNN-2-1)". Lineage: Bacteria; Pseudomonadati; Pseudomonadota; Alphaproteobacteria; Hyphomicrobiales; Phyllobacteriaceae. The record is from RNAcentral.